RNAcentral lists this long non-coding RNA (865 nucleotides) under Brassica rapa (field mustard). RNAcentral's name for it is "long non-coding RNA (BRAP_LNC001452)". Lineage: Eukaryota; Viridiplantae; Streptophyta; Magnoliopsida; Brassicales; Brassicaceae. The record is from RNAcentral.
CCCAAGGAAAAAUUCAUAACAAAUUCAAUUUGGGUCGGUUUUACACCAAAUUCGACCAGGCCUUUGCUGAUGGUCUUAUGCCCAUUUGCAUCAAGAAAUAUCAACAAAAGGAGUCAAAGUCGUGGUCAUAUCAAGGGGCAUUCAACAACACACUUAUUUCUAGUCAAAAGUCUUAGUCUAUGUUUUUGAGUUUAUUUCGUUUCUUCUCUUAGUGAGAGAGAGAGUUCUUUAGCUAGUUCAUCGGUUUGAACUGGCUUGUUGAUUUGGUGGUCAGCCAAUCAUCUUUGUGUGUCGUUUGGUGGUUAGCCAACACACUACAUUCGUUCUUAGGUGGUUAGCCUUAGAUCGUGGGUAUAUCAAGAGCCAUUCCGCAUCUCUUGACGAUCCUUUCAAUCCAUCUCAGUUCCAGAAGUGCCGUUUGCCUUCUCGGAUCAUAUCCAACACCCAGCUAAAGUGAUCCUUCCUUAUUUUGGUUCUAUCAAGUGGUAUCAGAGCCACUUUGGCUGGUUUGUUUUCUUUCAUCUUUCAUCUUCUCAUCUCUCCACGUUUUUCUUUUCUUAUUUCUUGGAUCCGGGCUGUUCCUUUACUCCCUUGUGAUCGCCUAUUAUAUAAAAAAAAAAAAUCGAUAAAAAAGAAAAAAAAAGUUUUGGCUUGAAUCACCUUCUGAAGAGAAAUCCAGGGGGAGUGGUGGAAGAGAAACCCUGCUGGCUGAAGAGAAACCCAGCCUUAGGACAGUUAAGGCGGAUCCAUUUCAAAAAUCUCUUCAUCUUUCUUUCUCUUUUCUUUUUCCCACAAAAGUUUGUUUUGGGUUUUGAUUGCUGAAUUUUGACUGCCUAUCAUCCUUUGAACCAGUGGAAAGAACUCU